UGGGGAAUUUUGGACAAUGGGGGAAACCCUGAUCCAGCCAUCCCGCGUGUGCGAUGAAGGCCUUCGGGUUGUAAAGCACUUUUGGCAGGAAAGAAACGUCGCGGGUUAAUACCCCGCGAAACUGACGGUACCUGCAGAAUAAGCACCGGCUAACUACGUGCCAGCAGCCGCGGUAAUACGUAGGGUGCAAGCGUUAAUCGGAAUUACUGGGCGUAAAGCGUGCGCAGGCGGUUCGGAAAGAAAGAUGUGAAAUCCCAGAGCUUAACUUUGGAACUGCAUUUUUAACUACCGGGCUAGAGUGUGUCAGAGGGAGGUGGAAUUCCGCGUGUAGCAGUGAAAUGCGUAGAUAUGCGGAGGAACACCGAUGGCGAAGGCAGCCUCCUGGGAUAACACUGACGCUCACGCACGAAAGCGUGGGGAGCAAACAGGAUUAGAUACCCUGGUAGUCCACGCCCUAAAUGAUGUCAACUAGCUGUUGGGGCCUUCGGGCCUUGGUAGCGCAGCUAACGCGUGAAGUUGACCGCCUGGGGAGUACGGUCGCAAGAUUAAAACUCAAAGGAAUU
RNAcentral lists this ribosomal RNA (563 nucleotides) under uncultured bacterium. Its description in RNAcentral is "partial 16S ribosomal RNA". It matches the Rfam family "Bacterial small subunit ribosomal RNA", at positions 355 to 911 of the family's 1533-position model. The record is from RNAcentral.